AAUAUCUAGAAACCACCGAGUGCGGAAAUCGAGGGGGGCAAUUUCGAUCGUGAGAAUUUUUUUGUACUUUCUUAAUUCGAAAUCCAAACUCGAAAGUAGGAGGAUUGGUGUUGGGUAUAAAAUACCCCCCAAUCGAAGUUUGUAAAAAAUCGACCCCUCCAGGGCUUUUCUAGCUUCCGACCUUGUGUGGUGUCUCUCUGAACCCCCUCGACCGUCCGAGCUUCCAUAAUGCCAUUCGGACUUCUCCGACAAUGAGCCUCUCCAUUCAUCUACCGGGCCGCUCCAAACACUCUCCGAGCUUCACUAUCAGCCGAUCUUCUACAGUAAUCAACUAUUCUCCGAAUCUCUUCCGGACUUCUCCCACCC
Molecule: long non-coding RNA, 366 nt
Filed under: Elaeis guineensis (African oil palm)
Lineage: Eukaryota; Viridiplantae; Streptophyta; Magnoliopsida; Arecales; Arecaceae
Description: long non-coding RNA (EGUI_LNC074865)
Source: RNAcentral